GGGACAACAGUUGGAAACGACUGCUAAUACCGCAUAAGCCCACGGGUCGGCAUCGACCAGAGGGAAAAGGAGCAAUCCGCUUUGAGAUGGCCUCGCGUCCGAUUAGCUAGUUGGUGAGGUAACGGCCCACCAAGGCAACGAUCGGUAGCCGGACUGAGAGGUUGAACGGCCACAUUGGGACUGAGACACGGCCCAGACUCCUACGGGAGGCAGCAGUGGGGAAUAUUGCACAAUGGGGGAAACCCUGAUGCAGCGACGCCGCGUGGAGGAAGAAGGUCUUCGGAUUGUAAACUCCUGUUGUUGAGGAAGAUAAUGACGGUACUCAACAAGGAAGUGACGGCUAACUACGUGCCAGCAGCCGCGGUAAAACGUAGGUCACAAGCGUUGUCCGGAAUUACUGGGUGUAAAGGGAGCGCAGGCGGGAAGACAAGUUGGAAGUGAAAUCCAUGGGCUCAACCCAUGAACUGCUUUCAAAACUGUUUUUCUUGAGUAGUGCAGAGGUAGGCGGAAUUCCCGGUGUAGCGGUGGAAUGCGUAGAUAUCGGGAGGAACACCAGUGGCGAAGGCGGCCUACUGGGCACCAACUGACGCUGAGGCUCGAAAGUGUGGGUAGCAAACAGGAUUAGAUACCCUGGUAGUCCACACCGUAAACGAUGAUUACUAGGUGUUGGAGGAUUGACCCCUUCAGUGCCGCAG
Molecule: ribosomal RNA, 695 nt
Filed under: uncultured bacterium
Lineage: Bacteria
Description: bacterial SSU rRNA
Rfam family: Bacterial small subunit ribosomal RNA
Source: RNAcentral